UUUCCUGAAGAGCCUUCACAAGUCCAGUUGCAAUUAUUGACAGCGACUGUCAAAUUAUUUUUGCAGAAGCCAACUGAAGGCCCGCAGCAAAUGAUCCAGAUUGGUUAUCUCGAAUGCUGCAAGCAACGAGGUUUUGCAAGCUGCUUUAUCUAGGCAUGCCCUCCUCUGAAAGGGGAAGAUUACUUGUUUUAUUGUCAUCCUGAAAAUCAGAAAACACCACAUAAUCAGAAACUGCAGAAAUGGUUUGUCCCAUUUACCUUUCUCCUUCUACAGUUGUCUGUUCAUCAAUUUGUUCAUGUACAUGCCUUCUCAAAAGACUAUGCCCAUCUUUUUCCCACUGAUUAUUCUGUUA
Long non-coding RNA from Eucalyptus grandis, 352 nucleotides. RefSeq lists it as uncharacterized. The transcript has 2 exons. NCBI's taxonomy places the organism in Eukaryota, Viridiplantae, Streptophyta, Magnoliopsida, Myrtales, Myrtaceae. The record is from RefSeq and is a predicted model, not a curated record.